Cercocebus atys (sooty mangabey) is the source of this 1145-nucleotide long non-coding RNA. RefSeq lists it as uncharacterized. The transcript has 2 exons. The record is from RefSeq and is a predicted model, not a curated record. NCBI's taxonomy places the organism in Eukaryota, Metazoa, Chordata, Mammalia, Primates, Cercopithecidae.
CGCUGUUGGGUGUGAGGACCCCAGUCGCUGGGCCGCCAUUCCGGAGCGCCAUCGAGAGGUCCUACGGGCGCGCGCGGACCCCCGAGUGCGGCUGGAAGCCCUGGGCCGUUGGUAGAGUGGAAGGGGAUAAAGGGAUCGGUGGGCGAGCGUCCCCUGUGGCCGGACCUCCCCUCACCGCCCUUCCCCAGGUAUCGGGACGAGUUGCCAGCGGCCAUCAGGGGCAGAGCGGAGAGCAUGUGACAGGCAGCUGGAGCGGCUGCUGGCCUGGAAGCUGGCGGCGAGGGGCGGCCCGCCUCGAGGGCGGGGCCUCCGUAGGGCGGGUCUUCAUCGGGGCGUGGCAUCGGCGGGGCGGGGCCUCCAGAGCGGGUCUUCGUGGGGGCGGGGCCUCCCUGUGGGUCGGCCUCCCUGUGGGUCCACCACCCCGGGCACCCUGACCUGGCUUCUCACAGCAGCUGGUGACCACCAAUCCCCCUGAGCUGGCUGUGCACUGUUCGACCACCACCUUCUGCCUCCUGCCAGAUGUGGGGGCCGCGGUCACCCAGCUGUCUGCCCUCUGCAGUGUGGACCCACCACAGUCACAGCCUCAGAACCAGGAGUCGGAGCCAGAGCUUGUCCCGAUGGGGUGUCCGGCUGCUUCUCCUCGCUGCUCACAGCAGUCCUGGUGCCUGGAGCUCGAGAUGGAGGCCUUCAUGUCAGAUGAGGCAGUGGUCACAGUGCCCGGCCUGCCGGCCCCACAGUACACCGUCAGGUACUACCUGCUGUACCUGGGCCAGGUUCAAGAGUGGGCCACAGCUCUGAGCCAAGGUGAAUGAACUGUGUGUGGGCAGGCUGGGGUGGCCCGUGCCCCUGGGCCUGAGUCUGUGUGCUCCCCACCUAGUGGAGACAGCACUGUGGACCUGGGCCGUGGGGCAGAGGCUGUGCCCAGACCUGCUGCCCAACCUUGGCCCCAGCCUGGCCACCCACGUGGACACUAGGCCAGCCAAGAAGCAUGGGACCCAGGCCGAGUGAACUUGGCUAUAGUCCAGGCCUGCUCACCUGCUACACAACCUUAGGCCUCCGGGUCUCACUGGAUGGCAGGGAGGCUGAAGAGUAGGCCAGCCACUAUGGGAGCUCAAUAAACACUUCCCAGACUCAUGCGUGAUUAC